AAGCGGAGGAAAAGAAACUAACAAGGAUUCCCCUAGUAACGGCGAGUGAAGCGGGAAGAGCUCAAAUUUGAAAUCUGGUAGCCUUCGGUUGCCCGAGUUGUAAUCUAGAGAAGUGUUUUCCGUGCCGGCCCAUGUACAAGUCCCUUGGAACAGGGCGUCAUAGAGGGUGAGAAUCCCGUCCUUGACAUGGACCCCCGGUGCUUUGUGAUACACUUUCAACGAGUCGAGUUGUUUGGGAAUGCAGCUCAAAAUGGGUGGUGAAUUCCAUCUAAAGCUAAAUAUUGGCGAGAGACCGAUAGCGAACAAGUACCGUGAGGGAAAGAUGAAAAGCACUUUGGAAAGAGAGUUAAACAGUACGUGAAAUUGUUGAAAGGGAAACGAUUGAAGUCAGUCAUGCUCUUGGGACUUACCUCCCUUGAGUGGGGUCAACAUCAGUUUUGAUCGAUGGAUAAAGGCACGGGGAAGGUAGCACUCUCGGGUGAACUUAUAGCCUCGCGUCAUAUACAUUGAUUGGGACUGAGGAACGCAGCAUGCCUUAUGGCCGGGAUUCGUCCACGUACAUGCUUAGGAUGUUAC
Molecule: ribosomal RNA, 576 nt
Filed under: Naganishia albida
Lineage: Eukaryota; Fungi; Basidiomycota; Tremellomycetes; Filobasidiales; Filobasidiaceae
Description: eukaryotic LSU rRNA
Rfam family: Eukaryotic large subunit ribosomal RNA
Source: RNAcentral